RNAcentral lists this ribosomal RNA (429 nucleotides) under Crassostrea tulipa. RNAcentral's name for it is "partial 16S ribosomal RNA". It matches the Rfam family "Bacterial large subunit ribosomal RNA", at positions 1853 to 2620 of the family's 2925-position model. Lineage: Eukaryota; Metazoa; Mollusca; Bivalvia; Ostreida; Ostreidae. The record is from RNAcentral.
UAGUACCUGCCCAGUGCGUAUUAUCUUGUUAACGGCCGCCUUAGCGUGAGGGUGCUAAGGUAGCGAAAUUCCUUGCCUUUUAAUUGUAGGCCAGCAUGAAUGGUUUGACGAGGGCCUCACUGUCUCUUAGUUCUAUGUUGAAAUUGUAGUGUAGGUGAAGAUACCUUCAUAAAAAAGUAAGACAAAAAGACCCCGUGCAACUUUGAAAAUUAAGCUAGAUUAAAUGGCAAAAGAUUUUUAGGUGGGGCGCCAAAAGAGGAAACUAUAACCUCUGCUGUUUAAGCUAAUUCUUACUGGAGUUGACCUGACCUAAGUCGAUCAAAGGAGAAGUUACGCCGGGGAUAACAGGCCAAUUCUUUAGUAAAGCUCGUAUUAACUAAAGGGCUUGGCACCUCGAUGUUGAAUCAGGGAUUAUAGCUUCAAGGCGUA